RNAcentral lists this ribosomal RNA (274 nucleotides) under uncultured bacterium. Its description in RNAcentral is "partial 16S ribosomal RNA". It matches the Rfam family "Bacterial small subunit ribosomal RNA", at positions 523 to 796 of the family's 1533-position model. The record is from RNAcentral.
AUACGGAGGGAGCGAGCGUUAAUCGGAAUUACUGGGCGUAAAGCGCGCGUAGGCGGCUUUGUAAGUCGGAUGUGAAAGCCCUGGGCUCAACCUGGGAAUGGCAUUCGAAACUGCAGAGCUAGAGUAUGGUAGAGGGAAGUGGAAUUUCCGGUGUAGCGGUGAAAUGCGUAGAUAUCGGAAGGAACACCAGUGGCGAAGGCGACUUCCUGGGCCAAUACUGACGCUGAGGUGCGAAAGCGUGGGGAGCAAACAGGAUUAGAAACCCUGGUAGUCC